UAUAAUCCCAGCUACUUGGGAGGCUAAGGCAGGAGAAUCUUGAACCCAGGAGGCCUCCGCCUGGGUUGCAGUGAGUCGAGGUCACACCACUGCACUCCAGCUUGGGCGACAGAGCUAGACUCCGUCUGGAGAAAAAAAAAAAAAGAAAGAAAGAAAUACAGCUGGGUGUGGUGCUCAUGCCUUAUCCUAGCACUUCGGGAGGCUACGGCAAGAGAAUCACUUGAGCCCAGGAAUUUGAGGCCAGCCUGGCCAACAUGGUG
RNAcentral lists this long non-coding RNA (260 nucleotides) under Homo sapiens (human). Its description in RNAcentral is "non-protein coding lnc-IFT81-3:1". Lineage: Eukaryota; Metazoa; Chordata; Mammalia; Primates; Hominidae. The record is from RNAcentral.